GAUGAACGCUGGCGGCGUGCUUAACACAUGCAAGUCGAACGGAAAGGCCCAAGCUUGCUUGGGUACUCGAGUGGCGAACGGGUGAGUAACACGUGGGUGAUCUGCCCUGCACUUCGGGAUAAGCCUGGGAAACUGGGUCUAAUACCGGAUAGGACCACUUCUUGGAUGUUGUGGUGGAAAGUUUUUUCGGUGUGGGAUGAGCUCGCGGCCUAUCAGCUUGUUGGUGGGGUAAUGGCCUACCAAGGCGUCGACGGGUAGCCGGCCUGAGAGGGUGUACGGCCACAUUGGGACUGAGAUACGGCCCAGACUCCUACGGGAGGCAGCAGUGGGGAAUAUUGCACAAUGGGCGCAAGCCGGAUGCAGCGACGCCGCGGGGGGGAUGACGGCCUUCGGGUUGUAAACUCCUUUCGCUAGGGACGAAGCGUUUUGUGACGGUACCUGGAGAAGAAGCACCGGCUAACUACGUG
This 467-nucleotide ribosomal RNA is filed under the name uncultured bacterium. Its description in RNAcentral is "partial 16S ribosomal RNA". It matches the Rfam family "Bacterial small subunit ribosomal RNA", at positions 28 to 507 of the family's 1533-position model. The record is from RNAcentral.